Molecule: ribosomal RNA, 351 nt
Filed under: Buthus sp. D DP-2013
Lineage: Eukaryota; Metazoa; Arthropoda; Arachnida; Scorpiones; Buthidae
Description: partial 16S ribosomal RNA
Rfam family: Archaeal large subunit ribosomal RNA
Source: RNAcentral
CAUAAUCAUUAGUCUUUUAAUUUGAGACUGGAAUGAAAGAGUAAACCAGGAGGAUUUCUUUUUAUUUAAUUAAAUGAAUUUUACUUUUUAGUAAAAAGGCUAAAAUACCCCUUUUAGACGAGAAGACCCUAUAAAACUUUAUACUUCUCUUUAAGAAAGNNNUAAAAGGAAAGUAUUUCACUGGGGCGGUGAGAGAAAANCNNUCUUCUCUUUUUUCAUGAAACGAACUUGUUUUAAUACCUAAAAAUUUUAAAAAAGAAAUAAGUUACUUUAGGGAUAACAGCUUAAUUCACUUAGAAAGUCCAAAUUGACAAGUGAGUUUAUGACCUCGAUGUUGAAUUAAAAUUCCUU